Molecule: ribosomal RNA, 200 nt
Filed under: uncultured bacterium
Lineage: Bacteria
Description: partial 16S ribosomal RNA
Rfam family: Bacterial small subunit ribosomal RNA
Source: RNAcentral
AGCGAACGCUGGCGGCAGGCUUAACACAUGCAAGUCGAACGGGUAUCUUCGGAUACUAGUGGCAGACGGGUGAGUAACACGUGGGAACGUACCUUUCGGUUCGGAAUAAUACAGGGAAACUUGUACUAAUACCGGAUAAGCCCUUCGGGGAAAGAUUUAUCGCCGAUAGAUCGGCCCGCGUCUGAUUAGCUAGUUGGUGA